GAUCGACAAAAAAAUCGUCCGCACAGAAAUUGGCGUCCUGCUGCGUCUGUCCCAUCCGAACAUCAUUCAGCUGAAGGAAAUCUUUGAGACGGACACCGACAUCGCUUUAGUGCUGGAACUGGUGACAGGAGGAGAGCUGUUUGACAGAAUCGUGGAGCGG
This is a non-coding RNA of Labrus bergylta (ballan wrasse), 160 nucleotides long. Lineage: Eukaryota; Metazoa; Chordata; Actinopteri; Labriformes; Labridae. The record is from RefSeq and is a predicted model, not a curated record.